This 253-nucleotide ribosomal RNA is filed under the name uncultured bacterium. Its description in RNAcentral is "partial 16S ribosomal RNA". It matches the Rfam family "Bacterial small subunit ribosomal RNA", at positions 524 to 776 of the family's 1533-position model. The record is from RNAcentral.
UACGGAGGGAGCUAGCGUUGUUCGGAAUCACUGGGCUUAAAGCGUGUGUAGGCGGACUUCUAAGUACCUUGUGAAAUCCCACGGCUCACCCGUGGAACUGCUUGGUAUACUGGUUGUCUUGAGCCUUCUAGGGGCGAGUGGAACAAAUGGUGGAGCGGUGAAAUGCGUAGAUAUCAUUUGGAACGCCAAUGGUGAAAACAGGUAGCUGGGGCUGUGCUGACGCUGAGACACGAAAGCCAGGGGAGCAAACGGG